UAAUACAUGCAAGUCGAACGAUGAAAUUCUCUGCUUGCAGAGAAUGGAUUAGUGGCGAACGGGUGAGUAACACGUGGGUAACCUGCCCAUAAGAGGGGGAUAACAUUCGGAAACGGAUGCUAAUACCGCAUAUGUCUUUGAGACGCCUGUCUCUUAGAUGAAAGGUGGCUUCGGCUGCCGCUUAUGGAUGGACCCGCGGCGUAUUAGCUAGUUGGUAAGGUAAUGGCUUACCAAGGCUUUGAUACGUAGCCGACCUGAGAGGGUGAUCGGCCACACUGGGACUGAGACACGGCCCAGACUCCUACGGGAGGCAGCAGUAGGGAAUCUUCCACAAUGGGUGAAAACCUGAUGGAGCAAUACCGCGUGAGUGAAGAAGGUCUUCGGAUCGUAAAGCUCUGUUGUUAGAGAAGAAUAAGUCGGGUAGUAACUGCCCCGACCUUGACGGUAUCUAACCAGAAAGUCACGGCUAACUACGUGCCAGCAGCCGCGGUAAUACGUAGGUGACAAGCGUUGUCCGGAUUUAUUGGGCGUAAAGCGAGCGCAGGCGGUCUUUUAAGUCUGAUGUGAAAGCCCACGGCUCAACCGUGGAAGGUCAUUGGAAACUGGAAGACUUGAAUGC
This 619-nucleotide ribosomal RNA is filed under the name Marinilactibacillus psychrotolerans. RNAcentral describes it as "bacterial SSU rRNA". It matches the Rfam family "Bacterial small subunit ribosomal RNA", at positions 49 to 649 of the family's 1533-position model. Lineage: Bacteria; Bacillati; Bacillota; Bacilli; Lactobacillales; Carnobacteriaceae. The record is from RNAcentral.